AUCAUUUCCGGCAGCUGCAAUAUGUGGUGGAUGUUUUGCUGCUAUAUUGAUAGUGAUUGGAAUUUUAUUAAUCUUGUUCUACAAAAAAAGAAAGAUGAUGCAAAUGAAUGAAAAUUCAAGGCAGAACCAUGUCAAUGUUGCUGAUCCUAUCUAUGGCAAUUCAGAAAUGUUUCCUAAUGGUCCCCAUGAAGUUGGGCCAAUUCCUCAAA
Nanorana parkeri is the source of this 209-nucleotide long non-coding RNA. RefSeq lists it as uncharacterized. The transcript is spliced from 3 exons. Lineage: Eukaryota; Metazoa; Chordata; Amphibia; Anura; Dicroglossidae. The record is from RefSeq and is a predicted model, not a curated record.